UCCCUGGUGGCUGAGACGGUAAAGCAUCUGCCUAUAAUGCGGGAGACCUGGGUUUGAUCCCUGGAUUGGGAA
Molecule: transfer RNA, 72 nt
Filed under: Bos taurus (domestic cattle)
Lineage: Eukaryota; Metazoa; Chordata; Mammalia; Artiodactyla; Bovidae
Also listed under: 2 other names
Rfam family: tRNA
About the family: Transfer RNA (tRNA) molecules are approximately 80 nucleotides in length.
Source: Rfam by way of RNAcentral